AACAGGGAAGCUUGCUUCCGCUGACGACCGGCGCACGGGUGCGUAACGCGUAUAGAACCUAUCUUUUACAGAGGGAUAGCCUUUAGAAAUGAAGAUUAAUACCUCAUAGUAUUAUAGAUUCGCAUGAAUUUAUACUUAAAGAUUUAUCGGUAAAAGAUGGCUAUGCGUCCUAUUAGCUAGAUGGUAAGGUAACGGCUUACCAUGGCGACGAUAGGUAGGGGUCCUGAGAGGGAGAUCCCCCACACUGGUACUGAGACACGGACCAGACUCCUACGGGAGGCAGCAGUGAGGAAUAUUGGGCAAUGGAGGCAACUCUGACCCAGCCAUGCCGCGUGCAGGAAGACGGCCCUAUGGGUUGUAAACUGCUUUUAUACAGGAAGAAACACUCGUACGUGUACGAGCUUGACGGUACUGUAAGAAUAAGGACCGGCUAACUCCGUGCCAGCAGCCGCGGUAAUACGGAGGGUCCGAGCGUUAUCCGGAAUCAUUGGGUUUAAAGGGUCCGCAGGCGGUCAAUUAAGUCAGAGGUGAAAUCCCAUAGCUUAACUAUGGAACUGCCUUUGAUACUGGUUGACUUGAGUCAUAUGGAAGUAGAUAGAAUGUGUAGUGUAGCGGUGAAAUGCAUAGAUAUUACACAGAAUACCGAUUGCGAAGGCAGUCUACUACGUAUGUACUGACGCUGAGGGACGAAAGCGUGGGGAGCGAACAGGAUUAGAUACCCUGGUAGUCCACGCCGUAAACGAUGGAUACUAGUUGUUGGGAUUUAUCUCAGUGACUAAGCGAAAGUGAUAAGUAUCCCACCUGGGG
RNAcentral lists this ribosomal RNA (807 nucleotides) under uncultured Bacteroidota bacterium. RNAcentral's name for it is "bacterial SSU rRNA". It matches the Rfam family "Bacterial small subunit ribosomal RNA", at positions 70 to 878 of the family's 1533-position model. The record is from RNAcentral. Lineage: Bacteria; Pseudomonadati; Bacteroidota.